RNAcentral lists this ribosomal RNA (576 nucleotides) under uncultured Lachnospiraceae bacterium. RNAcentral's name for it is "bacterial SSU rRNA". It matches the Rfam family "Bacterial small subunit ribosomal RNA", at positions 145 to 743 of the family's 1533-position model. The record is from RNAcentral. Lineage: Bacteria; Bacillati; Bacillota; Clostridia; Lachnospirales; Lachnospiraceae.
AACAGCCAGAAAUGACUGCUAAUACCGCAUAAGCGCACAGAACCGCAUGGUUCGGUGUGAAAAACUCCGGUGGUAUGAGAUGGACCCGCGUCUGAUUAGCUAGUUGGUGAGGUAAUGGCCCACCAAGGCGACGAUCCAUAGCCGGCCUGAGAGGGUGAACGGCCACAUUGGGACUGAGACACGGCCCAGACUCCUACGGGAGGCAGCAGUGGGGAAUAUUGCACAAUGGGGGAAACCCUGAUGCAGCGACGCCGCGUGGAGGAAGAAGGUCUUCGGAUUGUAAACUCCUGUUGUUGAGGAAGACAAUGACGGUACUCAACAAGGAAGUGACGGCUAACUACGUGCCAGCAGCCGCGGUAAAACGUAGGUCACAAGCGUUGUCCGGAAUUACUGGGUGUAAAGGGAGCGCAGGCGGGAAGACAAGUUGGAAGUGAAAUCUAUGGGCUCAACCCAUAAACUGCUUUCAAAACUGUUUUUCUUGAGUAGUGCAGAGGUAGGCGGAAUUCCCGGUGUAGCGGUGGAAUGCGUAGAUAUCGGGAGGACACCAGUGGCGAAGCGGCUAUGGGCACCAACUGA